UCCCGCAUCUUCCUCCUCACCCCCGAUUCCCCCACCGCCAAAAGCACACCGACGCGCCAUACCGACCCAGGACCCGGCCGCCGCCCCACCCCGCCCCCUCCCCUGACCGAGAUUCGGCCGUCGCGCGGCCCCCACCACCUGUCCCUGUCCGUGCGCUGCCGUGCCGCCACCCCAUCUUGCGGCCUCGCGCACCACCCCAUCUUGCGGCCGCGCGCACCACCCCAUCUGGCGGAGCCACCCCCACCAUGCGGCCUUCGGCGCCUUCCACCACCAGGGGCAUGGCCCUGCUCCGGCGCCCCGCCACCUGUGCAUGGCCUGGAGCCGCUGGCUGUGGCCGGGAUUCUGGGUCCCCAACCCCAACUCCUCCCUGGCCCUACUAGUUCCAGUGCCCCGCCAGACGCUGGUUCCCCAUGUCCACCUGGAGGAGCACAAAAAUCCCCCUUCCACAACUCAUCUCCGUGGUGGAGCUUCACAUGGGACGCGGUGCAGAGCAAACCCUCUACCGUCAUGCGGGUAUGUCCCCAUCAUUUGGACCUGAAGGUGCUCCAUAUGAGCAGCCACAGCAUCACAAAAGCUCUUAAUAUGGACGUGAUGUUGCUCCUUAUGAGCAGCCAUAGAAACAAUCUCUACAGGAAAGGCUUUCACUAAUUUCAUUGCAUAGUCUUGAUAGCUAAAUUCUUCAAAAUAUGUGAAGAGGUGAGGUGCAGUAGCAUUUUGGACAGCCGCAGUUCAUGCAGAUACGAGGUGAGACCCGAGCAUGGAGAGAGUGAGGAAAGUUCAGACAAUGUGGCCGACUACAUCGUGUGUUCAAAGCAGUUUGUUUCAGCAAAGGUCGAAGUUUGUUGUGUGACUGUGAUCCCACCUUGUAACGUAACAUAUGGUCAUUCACAUGCAUGCCUGGAUUCAGAAUGCCAAGGUGUUAUUUAAGUGCUAGGCCUACUAUUGUGGUCCUAUUGGUUCAUUAGACUGGGACUGAACACAUGCAUCAGAACCAUGAAAGUGUAUGACUAACUGAUUGUUCACAAAUUGUGGACACAGUGACGCUUGGGAUCGGCGGCUUCAGCAUGGGUGUAGCAGCCGCCCUACACUCGGCAGCAUGCUACGCCCACGGAAAAUUCAGCAGUGGCACCCCCUACCAGAUCAUGCUCAGUGCAAUCGUCAGCUUGAGUCGCUGGCUCCCUUGCUCAAGGAUGCUGAUGGGCAAGAUGGAGGGCUCACACAUGGCUGUAAGAAGAGCCGCCUCCCUGCCCAUCCUUCUCAACCAUGGCAGAGGUAAUAAAACAACCGAGUGCAGCGGACGAGUUCGUACCCUGUAGGAAUGGCGAGCGGUUGAUGGAGUUCCUGCGGUCCUUGGGCUUCUCCUAUGUGAGUUUCAAGUCCUACAACGGGUUGGGACACUACACCAUUCUCGAAGAAAUGGAUGACGGGUUGGGACACUACACCAUUCUCGAAGAAAUGGAUGACUUGUGCAAGUGGCUCAGCUCGCGGCUCAGCAUCGACCGAUCUUGGUAAAGAAAACAGCCAGCGCUUCUGCCAUUAUGCAUGUUCGCGCGACAUGGUGGCUCCCCUAGUACUAGCAAUAUAGCAGAGUACUACAGAGAGGUGAAUGCGGAUGCAACUAUUCUCAGCUCGAGCUCAUAUGCUCUUCAAUGAACAGUAAAAUAAAAAAUAUAGUAAAAGAAAUAAAAAAAAUCCUGAAA
RNA transcript from Hordeum vulgare subsp. vulgare (domesticated barley), 1700 nucleotides. RefSeq lists it as uncharacterized. The transcript has 5 exons. The record is from RefSeq and is a predicted model, not a curated record. NCBI's taxonomy places the organism in Eukaryota, Viridiplantae, Streptophyta, Magnoliopsida, Poales, Poaceae.